CUUCUCUCUCCUCUCUCUUUUUCCCCCAACCCCACGUGACCGACUCCUUCUCUCUCUCUUUUCUUCUUCCCCUUCGUGCGAAACCAGAAAGGAGAAGCUUGAGCGGAAGUUGCAGGCGCACGGAGACCGCAGCUCGCCGAAGCCGCCGUCCGCGCGCCCGCCGCUCGCCGCCGUGCGUUCAGCCGCCCGUCUCCUUCGCGCCUCGCCAUCCCCGCCGUGCACCGUCCAGGCCGUUCGGCCUCUGUUCAGCUCAGUUCAGCCCCCGUCCGGCCACCUCCGGCCGUCGUUUGAAGCCGCCGGACCUCCACCGACCCUCCUCGGAGCACCGCCCGCUCUCCCGAACCCUUCUCCGCCCCUAACCAUCUCUGUUUUCCCCUGUUUUGCAGCCAACCAGCAACCCACGAAAUGGGUUUCCAGCUGGUUUGGGCCCGUUUUGAGCCAUUUCCCGGCCCCGGAUCCUCGAGUCGCUUUGGGAAGAAUCGUUCCUCGCGUCGCCGCCGUCGGAUUGAUCCGAUUUGCGCGCGAUUUGGAUAUCCCAAUGAGCACGAUAAAACAGACCAUUCAAGCCAUCUGGACCGGGAGCUUUUGUGUCCCCUAGUUGGAAUACUGUAGUAUGGACCUCCUCACAGAUUUGAGAUCUCAUCAGUAUUUGAAUGGAGAUGAGGCUGAUUGGUGAGAGACUGAAGCUGGUUCUUAAGGCUGAGAAGAAGUCCAUGAUUCAGCAAUAAUGGAACGACAGUCGGUAUCCUGGAGCCAAAAAGCUUCAAAGUAGAAGGAUUUUUUCCGUUUACAAUUUGGAAGAGCUUCCGUUGACAAGAGGAGAGGGCUGUGAUCAGAGCCGAGGGCUGGGAGGGCAAGUACUUCGGCAAG
Long non-coding RNA from Eucalyptus grandis, 870 nucleotides. RefSeq lists it as uncharacterized. Lineage: Eukaryota; Viridiplantae; Streptophyta; Magnoliopsida; Myrtales; Myrtaceae. The record is from RefSeq and is a predicted model, not a curated record. The transcript is spliced from 4 exons.